RNAcentral lists this ribosomal RNA (726 nucleotides) under uncultured Pseudomonas sp. RNAcentral's name for it is "bacterial SSU rRNA". It matches the Rfam family "Bacterial small subunit ribosomal RNA", at positions 20 to 739 of the family's 1533-position model. The record is from RNAcentral. Lineage: Bacteria; Pseudomonadati; Pseudomonadota; Gammaproteobacteria; Pseudomonadales; Pseudomonadaceae.
UGGCUCAGAUUGAACGCUGGCGGCAGGCCUAACACAUGCAAGUCGAGCGGCAGCACGGGUACUUGUACCUGGUGGCGAGCGGCGGACGGGUGAGUAAUGCCUAGGAAUCUGCCUGGUAGUGGGGGAUAACGUUCGGAAACGAACGCUAAUACCGCAUACGUCCUACGGGAGAAAGCAGGGGACCUUCGGGCCUUGCGCUAUCAGAUGAGCCUAGGUCGGAUUAGCUAGUUGGUGAGGUAAUGGCUCACCAAGGCGACGAUCCGUAACUGGUCUGAGAGGAUGAUCAGUCACACUGGAACUGAGACACGGUCCAGACUCCUACGGGAGGCAGCAGUGGGGAAUAUUGGACAAUGGGCGAAAGCCUGAUCCAGCCAUGCCGCGUGUGUGAAGAAGGUCUUCGGAUUGUAAAGCACUUUAAGUUGGGAGGAAGGGCAGUUACCUAAUACGUAAUUGUUUUGACGUUACCGACAGAAUAAGCACCGGCUAACUCUGUGCCAGCAGCCGCGGUAAUACAGAGGGUGCAAGCGUUAAUCGGAAUUACUGGGCGUAAAGCGCGCGUAGGUGGUUCGUUAAGUUGGAUGUGAAAUCCCCGGGCUCAACCUGGGAACUGCAUUCAAAACUGUCGAGCUAGAGUAUGGUAGAGGGUGGUGGAAUUUCCUGUGUAGCGGUGAAAUGCGUAGAUAUAGGAAGGAACACCAGUGGCGAAGGCGACCACCUGGACUGAUA